GAUGAAGAACGUAGCAAAAUGCGAUAAGUAAUGUGAAUUGCAGAAUUCAGUGAAUCAUCGAAUCUUUGAACGCACAUUGCGCCCGCUGGUAUUCCGGCGGGCAUGCCUGUUCGAGCGUCAUUUCAACCCUCAAACCCCCGGGUUUGGUGUUGGGGAUCGGCUCUGCCUCACGGCGGUGCCGCCCCCGAAAUACAUUGGCGGUCUCGCUGCAGCCUCCAUUGCGUAGAGCUAACACCUCGCAACUGGAACGCGGCGCGGCCAUGCCGUAAAACCCCAACUUCUGAAUGUUGACCUCGGAUCAGGUAGGAAUACCCGCUGAACUUAAGCAUAUCAAUAAGCGGAGGA
Molecule: unclassified non-coding RNA, 345 nt
Filed under: soil metagenome
Description: partial contains 5.8S ribosomal RNA, internal transcribed spacer 2, and large subunit ribosomal RNA
Rfam family: 5.8S ribosomal RNA (bases 1-120)
Source: RNAcentral